AGUUCAGCACUAAGUCACUUUGUCUUAAUGGCAAAUGUGAGAUGCAGUGUAUGGAAUGUCAAAUUUCUAGUAUGAGAAAUUAACGAUUUAAGUCCUUCUUAAAUGAGGCCAUUUACCCAAAGAGGGUGCCAGGCCCGUAUAACGUUAAUGAUUACUAGAUGGCAUUUCCAAAGAGUCGUGUUGCUUGAUAGUGCAGCACUAAGUGGGUGGUAAACUCCAUCUAAAACUAAAUAUAACCAUGAGACCGAUAGUAAACAAGUACCGUGAGGGAAAGUUGAAAAGAACUCUGAAUAGAGAGUUAAAUAGUACGUGAAACUGCUUAGAGGUUAAGCCCGAUGAACCUGAAUAUCCAUUAUAGAAAAUUCAUCAUUAUGAUUUUAAUAUUUAUAAUAUUAUAAUAAUGGUGUGCAUUUUUUCUAUAAAAGGACAUUGUAAUCUAUUAACAUCAAAUAUUUAUCAAAAGAUCAAUUGCAAAAGUUUAUUCAAAUUAUUUUGCUUGCAAUUUAACAUAGAAUAAAUGCUUUUGAUUUGAUAAAGUGUUGAUAGAUUUAUUAUAUAUAGUGCUUGAAUAUUUAUAUUCUAUAAUAGCAUAUUAAUCAUUGAUUUUUAUGUUUAUUAUAUGCACUUAUAUGAUUAACAAUGCGAAAGAUUCAGGAUACCUUCGGGACCCGUCUUGAAACACGGACCAAGGAGUCUAACAUAUUUGCAAGUUAUUGGGAAUAAAAACCUAAUAGCGAAAUUAACAUAACUUAUUUAAUGGGAUUAAUUUUUAGCCUAUUUAUAGUCUAUUAAUUCAAUCCCGGGGCGUUCUAUACAGUUAUGUAUAAUAAUAUUUAUAUUAUUUAUACCUCUAACUAGAGCGUACCUUGAGCAUAUAUGCUGUGACCCGAAAGAUGGUGAACUAUACUUGAUCAGGUUGAAGUCAGGGGAAACCCUGAUGGAAGACCGAAA
This 951-nucleotide ribosomal RNA is filed under the name Cochliomyia macellaria (secondary screw-worm). RNAcentral describes it as "eukaryotic LSU rRNA". It matches the Rfam family "Eukaryotic large subunit ribosomal RNA", at positions 104 to 880 of the family's 3401-position model. The record is from RNAcentral. Lineage: Eukaryota; Metazoa; Arthropoda; Insecta; Diptera; Calliphoridae.